UGUCAUUUAAUUUUGUUUUCUAUUGCCCAAAAUGACCAUGUUGGAUCGUCUGCUUACGCGUUGUUCCUCACUGCACCUAUCAAAGAAGGUCAAAACUAAGCUAAGCAAUGGAAAUGAAGCGAACCCCGCACAAAAACAUACACCUGUCAUCAUAAUCAUCGUCAUCCUGUUUUGUCCCCUCCCAGCAAUUUCCAGUGACCCUCGCCAUGCUCCACCUGAUUGCCUUUUAUGCCUGGCAGCUUCGUAACAUUAUAACACCGCUUAUAUUCCUGCCGUCCUCUACUGCAUUUCCCCUUCCAUUGACACCCAUUGUGUAACUUUAAUAAUGCGCCGGUUAUCUGCCCUACGCACUGAAUGUUCCACCCUGCUCCAGCUUUUCCUUCUAAUGUCAACUAAAAUAUGGGCUACCCCUGCUGACUUUAACAUCCACAUCGCUGUCUUCCUGCCUCUCAACGUUAUAUUUAACAUUUAUCUUCUAAAUAUUACUUGACAGUCUCGAACACUCUGGGUCUCACGUUACUGCCCGCAGAAUGCAGUGAUUGUAUCCAAUUCAAGGACAGCUGUAAGCUGUAGAUUAUGAUUUCAUAAGGUGUUCCGUAUGCGAUGCAACCGAUUUUAUUUCCCUCUGUGUUUCCUUCCCUUGAUGAGGAUCACCAAUGAAUGAUUUGCUUUGAUAUGUGUUAUUGUAGAAAUUGAUUACCAAUCGGGGAAUGUUGUUCUCGUGCAAGGUAAUUCAACAUUACCUUAUAGCCCUAUGUAUACUAAUCUUUUGCAAUAGUCUCAUUCCUCGGGCUCAGUCGUACCAUAGUAAUGAUACUUUAACGCCAAUUUCCAUAAUAGAUAAAAAAAUAUUUAUACACACCAGAAUAUCGGCACCAAGGAGCUGGAACGUUAUAACAGAGAACUGAUCCUUGUAGCAAAGCUCAUCGCAUGCACAACGGCCCUUAAGCGGAAAGGAUGGAAGGUGGAGUCUACAACAUUUGAAAAUCAGAAGGCAGACAUUACAGAGGGAAAACUGCAUGCUAGGGUAAGCAAAGGUCGACUGAACGUAAGCCAAAUGUCCGGAGAAUUUUCUCGUGGCGUCCAACUUCCAGGCACAUGGUUAUCGCCGAAAGCUCCAGGAAGCUCAAAUCUUGUAAAUUAACAAAAAUUAGCUAUAGGUAGAGAGAGAUACUCGAGCUAUAAUAAAGGUAUAGGGUGGUUAGCUUUGUUACACGUUAUCUUCGGAUAACAACGGUGCACGUCUCAUGCCAAGAAUUUCGCGAUCAUGUAGUGGGUGGCCAAGGCCUGUAAUUGGGUGGCACAACCUGUAAUUUUGCGCUUCAUUGCGCCGUUUUGAUUUGUCGCUGUGAUGAGACAACAUUUAUCCUCGAAUUUUACAGAAUGACUCAUUUAUUGAAAGUUGGCGCUAUGUCCGUGUGCUUAACUUUCCUUUCCCUUUUUUCUUCUCCUGUCCAUCAUUUACUGCCCGUCAGCCUAUUGGUGUCUUGUCAUAAAACCACACGGACCGUUUAAACUGGCGCUACUGUAUCCGGGACUACGUAGGUGAAUAACUAUCAUCGAGGCGCUGACCGCCAGUGGUUCGAAAGCAACAUCUGGGGCGAUCACUUCUUGGACAAUCAAUUUGGGAAGAGAUCACACCGGAUCUGUGCACGUAUACGGCCCAAAGCGUUUCUGGAUCUGUGCUAGUCUCGCUAUCUCAUGGUGUGCAGAAUAGGAGGUCAAGGUUUCGUGUUCUCAUCCCUUCAAAUCUACUUCUCACAUGGGCAUGUGGUGUCUUUUUCUCUUUUUUUCAUUGGGGCCGAGAAUGAACGAUCACGAGAUCGGCGUGGCCAUGUCGUGGUACACGCAUAUAUCGGGCAAGGACGAUGCUGGCCUUUCGUGCGUCGUGGGAGUCAGCAGUACAACUGCGGCCAGACUAUACAACCUGGCCAGAAAGGUGAAUAACUAUCAUCGAGGCGCGGACGACCAGUGGUUCGGAAUCAACGUCUUGGGCAAUUGCUUCUCGGGUGAUCACUUUCGGAGGAGAUUACGCGGGAUCUGUACGAGUGUAUGGCUGAAAACCUUUCUGGCUACGUGCCAAGCUGGCUACCUGAUGGUGUACAGAAUAGGUAAGGUUUCUCGUACUCACCCAAUUGAUCGUGCGUCUCACAUGCGUGCCCGUUGUCUUCUUUCACUGGUUCCGGAUGAACGGCCCGAAAUCGACUUUGUCGUGCCGUGCACCCAUCUGUCGGGCAACGACGAUGCUGGCCUUUCGCGCGUCAUCACCAGAUCAAGCGAAGGAGGCAGCGCGGGGACUGGCUGCACGAGUCAAUCAAGCAAGGUGAAUAACUAUCAUCGAGGCGCGGGCGGCCAGUGGUUCGAAACCGACAUCUGGGAAGUCCACUUCUCUGGUGAUCCCUUUCGGAGGCGAUUCCAGAAGAUCUGCGUGAGUGUGUGAUCGAAAACCUUCCUGGCUCUGCGCCUAGCUGGGUUCCUGAUGUUGUACAGAAUAGCUCGUUUCUUCUAUACACCCUAUUCACCGUGCGUCUGACAUGCUUGCCCGUUGUCUUCUUUUUCAUUGGUGCGGACACCGAACGGCGCGAGAUCGACAUGUUCGUGUCCUGCAUCCAUCUGUCGGGAAAAAACGACGCUGGCCUUUCGUGCGUCAUCAACCGACCGAGCGGGAGAGGCAGCAGGGGACCCACUGCAGUAGUCAAACCAGCAAGCUGACAACGAACUGCGCGAGAUCUACAUGUUCGUGUCCUGCGUCUACUUGUCGGGCAAACACGACGCUGGCCUUUCAUGCGCCAUCAGCGAGCAAAGCGGGAGAGGCAGCAGGGGACCGACUGCAAUAGUCAAACCAGCAAGGUCGACCUGACUUCUGUAGCAGCGAGGUGAACAUCUCUUGCAGCAUGCUCAUGUCAAGCCACAUGUAGCAUUUGCGAGCAACGUAGGUGCCACAGUGUUCAUGCCCCUGGCAAGGCUGAAGCCCACUGUUGUCCUCGCGCAGCCGGAUGCUCCACUUUGGAUGUCGGUUGGCCAGGAUGUCCAGCAAGGUUGAACCUUCUUGCUCAGCGUUUUUAAGUGCAAAAAGCUGCGUGCACACCGGAAGUGACGAUGAUGGCGAGGAUCUGCCCACCACGGACUUCGGAGAAUCCCUCGAUCUGAAGCAACCUGGUGCGCGAGCCACCGAGCAGCCGCUGACCCAGACUGGAGAGGUUCAGCUCGAAUGUCAGGUCUCGAACUUGCGUCAGAGUGCCCCCUUUCACUGUCACGACGACGUGGCCAUUCGCACCGUUGCUGAAAAGAACAAGCGCUUGGUUCCGCACACACAAAAAUAAAGUCUGAAAACACCGCAGGCCAAAAGGCCAGAAGACGACGACGAUGGCGACGUGUAACGCCCAUGACGUGAAAGAUGUCUUACACUUCACGUACCACGACUCGAACUAAAAAGUGUUUCCGGGGUACGUCCUGGGUAGCUUGAGGGCCGGAGGAAUGCUUUUGCUGGUGUACGAAUGGUUAAGAGCUCCGAAAUAAAGUUACGGUGUGUGGAA
This is a long non-coding RNA of Dermacentor andersoni, 3536 nucleotides long. RefSeq lists it as uncharacterized. NCBI's taxonomy places the organism in Eukaryota, Metazoa, Arthropoda, Arachnida, Ixodida, Ixodidae. The record is from RefSeq and is a predicted model, not a curated record.